Zootermopsis nevadensis is the source of this 417-nucleotide long non-coding RNA. RefSeq lists it as uncharacterized. NCBI's taxonomy places the organism in Eukaryota, Metazoa, Arthropoda, Insecta, Blattodea, Termopsidae. The record is from RefSeq and is a predicted model, not a curated record.
CUGGGACAGUGUAACAGAAAACUGGGACGACGACAGUCUCAAGAACUGGGACAAGGACUUUGCGGAGGACAGACCCUCAGUUCCUUCAACACGCUCAGCUGCGGAUUGAUCAUGAGGCUGGCGACUUCGACGGUGGAUGUUCCAAGUACCUGUAAUCAGGCACGCCAUGCUGAAUGAGUGUUUCCCAAAUGACUCUGCUGUUACCGAUUUCAACUGAAGGGCUGUGGGUCCUCGUCUCAUUACAAGUAACAACGCCAUUCAGGAAGACGUUACCACGCAUCAAAAUAUAAAGAAAUAUAUUUUCUGUUCAGUUACAUAUGAGCCUGUGUAUGAAUAAUCCAACACAUAAAUCUCAUUUUCAUGUUUGUAACUAUUAUAACAGUCUGCGUAAAGAUGAUGUAAAACAUUAAAACAGAC